RNAcentral lists this long non-coding RNA (703 nucleotides) under Hordeum vulgare. RNAcentral's name for it is "long non-coding RNA (HVUL_LNC008135)". Lineage: Eukaryota; Viridiplantae; Streptophyta; Magnoliopsida; Poales; Poaceae. The record is from RNAcentral.
AAAGCCGCGUUGCCUCUGCGUUACUUUUCUUGUAGCCUGCUAUAUACUAUGUUAGUGCUAGUGGCCAAACUAAGGAGUUGGACGCAGAGAGAGAAAGGGGGUUGGGCGGUACGAAUGAGAGGCAUAUGGAAACAGUUCACCUGACACCCAGGAGCUUGAAUGUAGCAACAAUCGGGUUUUCAAUGAGGAGAUAAGGACAACCCUACAACGCAAAGUCAUCAGUCUUACUGUUACCUGAUGAUCUGCUCAUAUGUUUCAUUCUGGGGAAAAUCUAAGUAACGGCGUCGCACCAUUGACUUCUCAUGCGGCGGCCUCUUGCGUGUGGUGUUGGUGAUUAAGUGUGAUGAUUAACAGAGCGGUACAAAGUUGUGCAACAUGUACAUGUACUGUUUGCUACAGUGACUGUGCAAUGAUGGAUUGGGAGAUUCGUAGACUUUUUGUACCGGGACAUGCUAAAGCAAUAAUGUAUCAGAAUUCAAAAACUUUUAUCUCUUAAAUCGUUAAUUCGACUGAUGAUCCGUUUUCAUCGUUGACUUUGUUUCAACGAAAUCUUCAAAACUAGAUCCAUAUCGAUAUGUUUCGACAACUUUUUUUUCUCUCGUACUUUCCAUAUUUGUUGGACUUACUUGUCAUAUUAGUAAGUACUCCCUCCGUUUCAAAAUAUAAGACCUUUUAAGGAUUUCACUACCAGACUACAUACGGA